AAAUAAAAAAUUUAUUUUAAAUUAAUAUUUAAUUAAUUUUAAUAAAAAUAAUUUUAAUAAAUUUUUAUUUUUAGUAUUUUUUAAAGAAAAAAAUAUUUAUAUUAUAGUUUAUUUGUAUUGUAAAAGAAUAUUGAAAUAUAAGGAUAUAUAUUAUAAUAAAGUAAAAUUAAAUUUUUGUACCUUGUGUAUCAGGGUUUAUUAAAAAUAUAUUAUUUAUUUUAAUUAUCUCGAUUUUAAGAGGGCAAGUAAAAUAUUUUUUUUAUUGUUGAAUUAAUAUUUAAAAUAUUUUAUUAGAAAUGAAAUGUUAUUCGUUCUUAAAUAUAUCUAGUUUAUUUAGAAAUAAAUUUAAUUUAGUUAUUUAUUUUUAAUAUAUUAAUUAUUUAAUAUAUUAAUAGUUUAAAUAAUAAAAAUUUAAGGGAUUAGCUUUAUAUUUUUUUUAAUAAUUUUUAUAAAUAUAGAUAAAAAUUUGUAAGUUUAGAAAUAUCUAUCAAAAUUAAUUUGUUAUUAUUAAUUUUUUGUUAAAUAAUAUUUUAUAAAAAUUUUAAUUAUUUAUAAAUAUAUAUUAAUUAAUUUUUAAUUAAUAUUUAUAAUGAUAAAAUUAGUAUAAUUUAAUAAAUUUAAAUAAGAUUUAUUUUUAAUUUAUUUAAAGUAAUUCGGCAAAUAUUUUACUCGCCUGUUUAACAAAAACAUGUCUUUUUGAAUUAAAUUUAAAGUCUAACCUGCCCACUGAAAGUUUUAAAUGGCCGCAGUAAUUUGACUGUGCAAAGGUAGCAUAAUCAUUAGUUUUUUAAUUAAAAGCUAGUAUGAAAGGUUGGACGAGGUAAAAUCUGUCUCUAUUUAAUUUAUAGUAAAAUUUAAUUUUUAAGUUAAAAAGCUUAAAUUUUUAUAUAAGACGAGAAGACCCUAUAGAGUUUAAUAUAAUUAUUUAAUUAAUUAAUUAAGAUUUUUUAGAAUAGAUAAAGUAUUUUAUAUUUUAUUGGGGUAAUAGAAAGGUUAAUAUAAUCCUUUUUUAUUUUUUAUAUUAAUUUAUAUUUUUUUUGAUCCAGUUUUAUUGAUUAUAAGAUUAAAUUACCUUAGGGAUAACAGCGUAAUUUUUUUAGAGAGUUCAUAUCGAUAAAAAAGUUUGCGACCUCGAUGUUGGAUUAAAGAUUAAUUUAGGUGUAGAAGUUUAAAUUUUUGGUCUGUUCGACCAUUAAAUCUUUACAUGAUCUGAGUUCAAACCGGUGUAAGCCAGGUUGGUUUCUAUCUUUAUAUAAUUAUAGUAUUUUAGUACGAAAGGACCAAAUAUUAUGUAUAUUUAUAUAUUUUUUAAUUUGAAUAUUAAUAAUUU
RNAcentral lists this ribosomal RNA (1330 nucleotides) under Carabidae sp. BMNH 1274270. RNAcentral describes it as "16S ribosomal RNA". The stretch from base 1079 to 1237 matches the Rfam family "Archaeal large subunit ribosomal RNA", at positions 2544 to 2703 of the family's 2987-position model. Lineage: Eukaryota; Metazoa; Arthropoda; Insecta; Coleoptera; Carabidae. The record is from RNAcentral.